UUUGAAACCUUGAUAACAUAUAAAUUAUUUGCCUUAAUAAAUAAAUCAUUAGAUAAACAUGAAUGUACUAUAUAUGAAUGUUUAAUGUUGAGGCAACUUUGCCACAGUUUUCAUAAUUACGGUUGCCUUGGUUUUUGGUUAACUGCCUUCAGCGCUUACAGCGCUUUGAUUUGUAAUAGUUGUGCUCUACAUUUAUGUAUACUACAAAGUAAGGUUUCUGCUCAUAUCAUAUGAACAUGUUUAUAGGCUGAACAGUGCAGAAUAAAUACCUGCUUGAUGCUGAGCAUCCACCAAAAAAAAAUACUUGUCAUUUAGACUAAAAAUGGUAAUUGACACUUGUACCAAAAAAUGGAUUACCAUCAAAUGUUUUUAAAUAUUAUUUUGUACCAAAAUUCAUUGGAUCUGAGACAAACUUCUUUAUUUUCUUCCAAACUCGCUGGACUGUGAUAUGCAUGUUUGUUGUUGAUAUUAUGUGGUGCUGUUGAUUUUGAAUCAAAUUUCAUUUGACAAUAAAUUUCAUUUGACAAUUGUAAAUGGUAACAUUCAUUUAUUUCUAUAUGUUAUGUUUAUUUGUAUGCUCAAUUAGCAGCAUUCUGCUAUUAAAAAUGUUAUUGAAUAGUUGAGAUAUUAGGGCUUAAUUUGUUAUUCUUAAGAAAUUUAAACAAUUUUAUCUUUUGAAGAAAGGAAUAUAGACCAAAAAAAAUAUUUAAUAUUUCUGAUGCAAAUAGCACCUGUAAUGACACCUUCCAAUGGAUUUUUUUUUUAUGAAAUUGCCCAGUUUUGGGAAAGCAAAGUAAAACAUAAAACAAUAUUAUUAGCUUUGAAUUUUAUUGGUUAAAACAUAGAUGUAUAAACUGAGUAUAUACAUCUAUGUCUUGUUAAUGCAUAGGUUUUAAAUAAACUUAAAGAGUCUGUUACAAGAUGCAAGACGUCAAAUAAAGAAAGAUUGGAUUUAUAGCCAGUACUAUUUAUAUUGUUGAAUCCAUAUUAAAAUUGAUGUGAUUAAUUAAAUGGAGUUUACUAAUAAUUCUUUAAAAAUAUUAUGUUUUCUCUUGUAUAUUGAAUGGGUGUAACUUCCCAAAAAUUGUAUUGUAUUUUCUCUGUUUUGUUGUACAUAACAGAGGCGGAUUUAGGGGGUUGGGCAUGGGGUCUGGGCCCCCCUUUUGUGGAAAAAAUUUGGUUGAAUAUAUAGGGAUCAGUGAAGCAUGACUGGAGCGGGCCCCCUCUUAGGCAGUCUGUGGACCUCAACUUUUGAAAAUUAUUGGAUCGGCCACUGCAUAAGAAAACAAUAUUCCAGUAGUGUGGAACUGUUGUUUUAAAUGAAUUGAUUUAGCAUUUAAUAAACUUAUAAUCUUCACUUGUUAUAUAGCACUUUUUUAAUUUAUUGCUUUUUUAGUGAAUUGUGAUUUUCUUAGUUUUGCAUUCAUGUAUCAGACUAUCUGAACUUACUAAUACUAAAGAGAAAAGUAGGAUUAUUGGUCAAGGAUAAAACAAAAUGUUUGCAUGUUCUUUCUCUUACUGUAAGCUCAGUCAGUUUGAACUUAACAAGACUGUCAUAUAUUAUCUUGGUGUGUACAACACACAAGCUUAAAGUUAUUGGGUGUUUUUCUCCUCUGACCCCAAAAAAAGUUAGAACAUGAUGAUUGUUUGGUUGCAAUUUAAAUUACAAACAGUUGCUCAAAUACAAUGUAGAAAAAGAUCUAGGAUCAUUUUAUGAUAAUAGAAAAAAAAUACUUUGUACUUAUUUAGUUUUGAUAAAUGAAUUGCACAUAUUGUACUGAUAUUAUAUAUUUAUAUUUAUGUAAAAUUUCAUUGAUAAUGAUUAAAUAAACAAUUAAAAAUUGUGCCUUCUUCUUUCCAUGUUUCUGAAAGAUAUUCCUUUUCAAUAAGUCCUUGAAAAAGGGAAUCAACUUUGCCUUGUGAUUGAUGUACAAGAGAUAUGAAGGUCAUUAGUUUGCAUUUGUUCCCUACCUAUGAAAGUAGAGGGGCAUUAUGUUUAUAUGUGUGUUCUGUCCAC
RNAcentral lists this long non-coding RNA (2017 nucleotides) under Mytilus galloprovincialis (Mediterranean mussel). The record is from RNAcentral. Lineage: Eukaryota; Metazoa; Mollusca; Bivalvia; Mytilida; Mytilidae.